UACAAAGGCUGCUCUGCUAAUGGGGUAGGAUCCGAGACCCUGCAAAGGGUUACAUAGGCUCUCCUACUCAACUCCUAUUCCGUCACGUCCCCGUCGUGCAGA
Non-coding RNA from Anopheles maculatus, 102 nucleotides. The record is from Rfam. NCBI's taxonomy places the organism in Eukaryota, Metazoa, Arthropoda, Insecta, Diptera, Culicidae.